RNAcentral lists this ribosomal RNA (493 nucleotides) under Lygodactylus angolensis (Angola dwarf gecko). Its description in RNAcentral is "partial 16S ribosomal RNA". It matches the Rfam family "Bacterial large subunit ribosomal RNA", at positions 1846 to 2580 of the family's 2925-position model. The record is from RNAcentral. Lineage: Eukaryota; Metazoa; Chordata; Lepidosauria; Squamata; Gekkonidae.
UUAAAGGUCCAACCUGCCCAGUGAAAACUUUAAACGGCCGCGGUAUCCUAACCGUGCAAAGGUAGCGCAAUCACUUGCCCCUUAAAUGGGGGCUGGUAUGAACGGUUUAAUGAGGGUCUAACUGUCUCCUGAAGCCAAUCAAUGAACUUGAUAACUCAGUACAAACGCUGAAAUACAACCAUAAGACGAGAAGACCCUGUGGAACUUCAAGUAUCCUGCUGACAGCCUGAACUAGGGCCCCCUCAGCAUAAAACUUCAGUUGGGGCAACUACGGGGUAAAACAAAACCCCCACGAAAAUAACUCACCGUUAUACAACCAGGCCCACACGCCACAGCUUCUGUUCGACCCAGUCCAAACUGAUCACCGAACCAAGCUACCCCAGGGAUAACAGCGCUAUCUCCUUCAAGAGUCCGUAUCGCCAAGGAGGUUUACGACCUCGAUGUUGGAUCAGGACACCCCGGCGGCGCAGCCGCUGCCAAAAGGUUCGUUUGU